CGAAAGCCUGACGGAGCAAUACCGCGUGAGGGACGAAGGCCUCUGGGCUGUAAACCUCUUUUCUCAAGGAAGAAGACCUGACGGUACUUGAGGAAUAAGCCACGGCUAAUUCCGUGCCAGCAGCCGCGGUAAUACGGGAGUGGCAAGCGUUAUCCGGAAUUAUUGGGCGUAAAGCGUCCGCAGGCGGCCGAUCAAGUCUGCUGUUAAAGCGUGGAGCUUAACUCCAUAAUGGCAGUGGAAACUGGAGAGCUAGAGUACGGUAGGGGUUGAGGGAAUUCCCAGUGUAGCGGUGAAAUGCGUAGAUAUUGGGAAGAACACCAGUGGCGAAGGCGCUCUGCUGGGCCAUAACUGACGCUCAUGGACGAAAGCCAGGGGAGCG
Molecule: ribosomal RNA, 379 nt
Filed under: uncultured cyanobacterium
Lineage: Bacteria; Bacillati; Cyanobacteriota
Description: bacterial SSU rRNA
Rfam family: Bacterial small subunit ribosomal RNA
Source: RNAcentral